Molecule: transfer RNA, 74 nt
Filed under: Aedes aegypti (yellow fever mosquito)
Lineage: Eukaryota; Metazoa; Arthropoda; Insecta; Diptera; Culicidae
Rfam family: tRNA
About the family: Transfer RNA (tRNA) molecules are approximately 80 nucleotides in length. Their secondary structure includes four short double-helical elements and three loops (D, anti-codon, and T loops).
Source: Rfam by way of RNAcentral
CCUCUCAUGGCGUAGUGGUUAACGCGACCCAACUAGAGAUCGGGGAGUCGUGAGUUCGAUUCUCACUGAGAAGA